This 226-nucleotide ribosomal RNA is filed under the name uncultured Pseudomonas sp. RNAcentral's name for it is "partial 16S ribosomal RNA". It matches the Rfam family "Bacterial small subunit ribosomal RNA", at positions 126 to 355 of the family's 1533-position model. Lineage: Bacteria; Pseudomonadati; Pseudomonadota; Gammaproteobacteria; Pseudomonadales; Pseudomonadaceae. The record is from RNAcentral.
CUGCCUGGUAGUGGGGGACAACGUUUCGAAAGGAACGCUAAUACCGCAUACGUCCUACGGGAGAAAGCAGGGACCUUCGGGCCUUGCGCUAUCAGAUGAGCCUAGGUCGGAUUAGCUAGUUGGUGAGGUAAUGGCUCACCAAGGCGACGAUCCGUAACUGGUCUGAGAGGAUGAUCAGUCACACUGGAACUGAGACACGGUCCAGACUCCUACGGGAGGCAGCAGC